GUUGAGAUCCAAAGAAAAUGAAGAUUCCCCUGGGGAUCCUAAUGGUUGCAGUCUUGUGCUCCGUCGGUGAUCCUGCCCUUAAGAGGAAUGUCUCCUCGGCUCUGGGCCACGGCAACGCCACCAGUGUGGUGAAGGGGACGAUGCUUCCACCUCAUAUUGAGAAAGCGAAAACAACAGCUUUAGGAAGAUUCUGAAGAUCACCUGGCAAGAUAAAGUACCAGAUACUAAGAAAUACACCUCCUCAAGUGCCAUGUGUGCAUGGGCAGCUUCCAGUGCUACUCGCCGCAGCUGUGUCAUCCCUCAGAAAGAUUCUGCAUGAUUGCUGAAACUGUCCAGGAAACCGGACCCAACGUGAUCAAGUACUGUUCAGUCUUUUGCCCAUUUAUCGACAAGUACCAUGGAAGAAGCAUGGAGAACUUGUAUGUUGCCUGUUGUGCUGAGGAUUUGUGCAAUUAUAAAAAACUGGGUACUGGGUCCAGAAUUUGUCCUAGUGUCUCUGUGGUGACAAUGGCAUUUGUAGCAAGUUUCCUUGGAACCCUCAGGAUUGGACUAUUUUAUGCUGGGAUGUGACCUCUGAGACCUUGCUCAUAUCAUGCCCUUCUCAAUUAAUUCUCAGCCAUAUCUCCCAUUAAUCUUCUGUAAAGGAAUUUCCCAGGUCACUGGAAGACUUUCCCAUAGUUCCAGAGAGCCAAUUUGGAUCUCUUCCCUGCAUUAUAUUCUUUUUUUUUUAUUAAAGCUUUUUAUUUUCAAAACAUAUGUAUAGAUAAUUUUUUAACAUUCACCCUUGCAAAAUCUUGUAUUCCAAUUUUUCCCCUCCUUUCCUCUCAUCCUCUUCCCUAGACCUGCCUUAUGUUCUUUAUAUCUCUUUGAGAUGUAUGGAAAGUGCUAUAUAAAUGCUUGUAAGUAUUAUUAUUAACAGG
Molecule: long non-coding RNA, 920 nt
Filed under: Sarcophilus harrisii (Tasmanian devil)
Lineage: Eukaryota; Metazoa; Chordata; Mammalia; Dasyuromorphia; Dasyuridae
Description: lncRNA (ENSSHAG00000024081.1)
Source: RNAcentral